GGGGGCACGGGCAUCUCCGUAGCCCUUUUACCUUUUCACGGUUGGGCAACGCGCCAAGAAAUUUCACCUCCCGCCCCCGCAGUUCCUUCCCCCUCCCGGCGGCGACACCGGCGGCGGUGUCCGACUCCGCCCUCCUCCCGCCGCAGCACCUCCACUCCCCCGCACGUCCUCCCCGUGGCCGGAUUCAUUGUUGGAACCCUAGAAAGGGCUCCGCCUACGGCCUACCGCGGCACGUCGAGGGCGGCGCCUUCUUCCGGCGGCGCACAUUCGCAGCCGCCGUCGGCACCCAGAGAUCCUCCUCCCCUUGACCAUCAUUUCGUGCCUCUCCCCCGAUGAGUCCGGCGCAAUCCGAGCUCCUCCGUGUCAAGUCUCAGCCGCCGGGAGCUCCUCCGCAUGAACUCGAGCGGCUCCGAGAGUUGCGGACUGCCGCUUCCCCGCAGCGGCUGCGUCAUCCAAGAUGCCUCUGCUGUGACGUCGCACGGCCGAGGAGGCGAGGAGCACGAAACUGUGGAAAGGCAACCUUUCGACGCAGGGAUCUCUGAAGUUCAUUUCGAAUUGAAAUAUUCUCCAACACGCGUCAUUCCCUGAUAUAUAUGUGCACUCUAGCAAUUUCGUAAGGUAAGCCGGCGGCUCUCUGAAUGGUGGCAAAUCGACCUUGCCCUGUUGGCAACAUAGUCCGAAAGAUGGCAUCCUUCUCGCUCUACCUGAAGUUCUUUCUUCGUACCAGAAAAUUGCACCACAUCGUUCACACUUGCAGCUUGGUUCUCCGAAGUUCCAAAUUUCCAUAUCAGUCCUUUCCGAUGUCCUGUUCAAGUUUCUGAAUUUAGCAUCAAAUUUUAUAUUAGUAAUGUAUGUUCUCGUUCAUACUAAUAAAACAAACUUAAUAGAGCUUACAUAUCUGGUGUUUUUUUGUUUCUCCUUGACUUUGAUGUAGUACACCUUUUGUUACUUUUAGUCCUGUACACGUGCAUACCAGAAAUAUCAGGUUCAUGAAUGUCCAAAUUUUAGAUGUUGACUGUAUUUUCUUGUUACUUACCUUGUAGUCUUACCAGCCUCGUCGAUCAUUACUUCAUUUUCUGUCGCUGGUUCUGCAACCCUCUUGCUUUGUAUUUUUCUUUUCCUAUACAAUCUUGCCUCUUUAGCUUUGUCCCUGCAUAAACAUAAAUGCCAUUUAGUAGAAAUAAGAGAUGGAAUUUCCGGCAUAAGCAAUACACAUCUGUACAGGACAUGGUUCCUUGUGGCAAUCCAACAAUGUUUUUUUGCCACAGUUUUUGUUUAACCAUAGUCCAUGGAUAUGUGCUAUCAUGAUUCUUUUGUUUAAAAAACAUACUUCGUAGCUACAGUCAGAACCAAUUGUAACAUGUUUUUGUGAUUUAAUAGAGCAAUUUAAAUUAGCUGCACCUGAAGAUAUGGAAAUGCAUGGGCGACCGGGCAUUAUAAGCAUUUGUUUACAGUAAAAUGUUUAAGAUCAAAUUUUACUACAUCAAAUCCACCGAGUUAAUGAAGGGAUUUUUGUAAGCUUUGGAAGAUUUGAGUACAUAGAUAGCAGAACUGAUGUGCAAAGCAGAAGCAAGCUAUAUAAUGUUGUUUCCAGUAUACUGUGGUAGCAGUCGUGCAUCAUUAAUGAUAAAGUUUAGCAAUUGAAUUCAGAGAAGUAAUUAAACCAAAUUGUUGAUAAUACACAUAAGGGCAAAACUCUGAAGAUUUGCUUACUUCACAUGGAUCAGAAGUUGUUCUUCUAGUAUAGUUGCACGGCCUGGCACUUCUCCAUUUAUGAUCGAAGUCUGUCUCAUUUUCUUUGCUUGAAGUUUGAUUCUCCUUUCUAAUCUUGCCAUUUUUGUUGAUUGUCUGAAUUCACAUCAAUGAGAUAAUAAAUUAAAAUAUCAUUUUCCCUGUCCAAGCUAAAAUUAAUUACGAACCCACAUGUGCCUAACGGGAGUUGUUGCAUUUUUAGUUGUAACAUUCUUGUGAUACCACUAAUAAAAGAUUCAUGAUUAGUAAUGGAUCACCUUGUUGGAUUGCAUAUUUGAUUGGUCUUAACCAUCUUGGCAGGUUUCUCACAUUCCUUGCUAUGUGGCCCACCUUUUCUUUUCAUUGUUUCUUCCUGCACAAUAGAGUGCAAAUAUGAUGUUAAAGGGGAUGAUAUUAUAAUAUCAUUACGGACAGUGUCCGACCCAGAAACUGUGGUUUGCUGGGGCGAUGGACGGCAAGUCGGCAACAGAGAUUGAUGUCGAUGCACCCGCUGGUCGCUGGACAGGGGAUUACCCUGCUCCGCCACUUGAGACCUCGGUCGUCCGGCCCUACUUGCCCCAAUGAAGUAAAGGAGAUCAACUUUCAAGACCAGUGAUUGUGCUGAAAGCUUUAAUUUUGAAGAGGAUGUUAAGUUCCAAUCGUCGUGUGAAGACACGAAUAUUGUGAGUAUUUUUUAAUAAAAGGCAACUGAGGCAAUCUCUACCUGAUUAAUGAGGUAUAUAUUCUUGUUGGACCGGGAAUGCCAAUUCUAGGAAUUGUAACAUUUGUGAUGGGCGGCUCAUUUUUUCUCAAUAUUUUCCGGUUAUCCUCAAUAUUUUAAUAAGAUGCUAUUAAACAUAGAAUGAUCUGAAACUUCUGAUUUUUUGUA
Non-coding RNA from Aegilops tauschii subsp. strangulata, 2620 nucleotides. The record is from RefSeq and is a predicted model, not a curated record. Lineage: Eukaryota; Viridiplantae; Streptophyta; Magnoliopsida; Poales; Poaceae.